Molecule: ribosomal RNA, 497 nt
Filed under: uncultured bacterium
Lineage: Bacteria
Description: partial 16S ribosomal RNA
Rfam family: Bacterial small subunit ribosomal RNA
Source: RNAcentral
GAUGAACGCUGGCGGCGUGCCUAAUACAUGCAAGUCGAGCGAACAGACGAGGAGCUUGCUCCUCUGACGUUAGCGGCGGACGGGUGAGUAACACGUGGAUAACCUACCUAUAAGACUGGGAUAACUUCGGGAAACCGGAGCUAAUACCGGAUAAUAUAUUGAACCGCAUGGUUCAAUAGUGAAAGACGGUUUUGCUGUCACUUAUAGAUGGAUCCGCGCCGCAUUAGCUAGUUGGUAAGGUAACGGCUUACCAAGGCGACGAUGCGUAGCCGACCUGGGAGGGUGAUCGGCCACACGGGAACUGAGACACGGUCAAGACUCCUACGGGAGGCAGCAGUAGGGAAUCGUCCGCAAAGGGCGAAAGCCUGACGGAGCAACGCCGCGUGAGUGAUGAAGGUCUUCGGAUCGUAAAACUCUGUUAUUAGGGAAGAACAAAUGUGUAAGUAACUAUGCACGUCUUGACGGUACCUAAUCAGAAAGCCACGGCUAACUACGUG